Molecule: ribosomal RNA, 466 nt
Filed under: uncultured bacterium
Lineage: Bacteria
Description: partial 16S ribosomal RNA
Rfam family: Bacterial small subunit ribosomal RNA
Source: RNAcentral
GACGAACGCUGGCGGCGCGCCUAACACAUGCAAGUCGAACGAGCGAGAGAGAGCUUGCUUUCUCAAGCGAGUGGCGAACGGGUGAGUAACGCGUGAGGAACCUGCCUCAAAGAGGGGGACAACAGUUGGAAACGACUGCUAAUACCGCAUAAGCCCACGACCCGGCAUCGGGUAGAGGGAAAAGGAGCAAUCCGCUUUGAGAUGGCCUCGCGUCCGAUUAGCUAGUUGGUGAGGUAACGGCCCUCCAAGGCGACGAUCGGUAGCCGGACUGAGAGGUUGAACGGCCACAUUGGGACUGAGACACGGCCCAGACUCCUACGGGAGGCAGCAGUGGGGAAUAUUGCACAAUGGGGGAAACCCUGAUGCAGCGACGCCGCGUGGAGGAAGAAGGUCUUCGGAUUGUAAACUCCUGUUGUUGAGGAAGAUAAUGACGGUACUCAACAAGGAAGUGACGGCUAACUACGUG